UGGGGGAAUUUUGGACAAUGGGGGAAACCCUGACCCAGCAACGCCGCGUGAAGGAUGAAGUAUUUCGGUAUGUAAACUUCGAAAGAAUAGGAAGAAUAAAUGACGGUACUAUUUAUAAGGUCCGGCUAACUACGUGCCAGCAGCCGCGGUAAUACGUAGGGACCAAGCGUUGUUCGGAUUUACUGGGCGUAAAGGGCGCGUAGGCGGCAUGACAAGUCACUUGUGAAAUCUCUGGGCUUAACCCAGAACGGCCAAGUGAUACUGUCGCGCUAGAGUGCAGAAGGGGCAAUCGGAAUUCUUGGUGUAGCGGUGAAAUGCGUAGAUAUCAAGAGGAACACCUGAGGUGAAGACGGGUUGCUGGGCUGACACUGACGCUGAGGCGCGAAAGCCAGGGGAGCAAACGGGAUUAGAUACCCCCGUAGUCCCUGAGCGGGCUGGCAAGGCGCAU
Molecule: ribosomal RNA, 448 nt
Filed under: uncultured bacterium
Lineage: Bacteria
Description: bacterial SSU rRNA
Rfam family: Bacterial small subunit ribosomal RNA
Source: RNAcentral